This 248-nucleotide ribosomal RNA is filed under the name uncultured bacterium. RNAcentral's name for it is "partial 16S ribosomal RNA". It matches the Rfam family "Bacterial small subunit ribosomal RNA", at positions 107 to 354 of the family's 1533-position model. The record is from RNAcentral.
UGAGUAACACGUAUGCAACCUGCCUGCCACAGCCGGAUAAUCGGGAGAAAUUCCGUCUAAUACGGCAUAAUGCAUCGACGGGACAUCCUGUUGGUGCCAAAGGUUAAUUCCGGUGGCGGAUGGGCAUGCGUCGCAUUAGUUAGUUGGCGGUGUAACGGACCACCAAGACGACGAUGCGUAGGGGUUCUGAGAGGAAGGUCCCCCACACUGGUACUGAGACACGGACCAGCUCCUACGGAAGGCAGCAG